This 253-nucleotide ribosomal RNA is filed under the name uncultured bacterium. Its description in RNAcentral is "partial 16S ribosomal RNA". It matches the Rfam family "Bacterial small subunit ribosomal RNA", at positions 524 to 776 of the family's 1533-position model. The record is from RNAcentral.
UACGGAGGAUGCAAGCGUUAUCCGGAAUGAUUGGGCGUAAAGGGUCCGCAGGUGGCAGUGUAAGUCUGCUGUUAAAUAGUGAGGCUCAACCUCAUAAAGGCAGUGGAAACUACACGGCUAGAGUGCGUUCGGGGCAGAGGGAAUUCCUGGUGUAGCGGUGAAAUUCGUAGAUAUCGGGAGGAACACCAGUGGCGAAGGCGGCGACCUGGGGCGAUACUGACGCUGAGGUGCGAAAGCGUGGGGAGCAAACAGG